GACGAACGCUGGCGGCGUGCCUAAUACAUGCAAGUAGAACGCUGAAGGAGGAGCUUGCUCUUCUGGAUGAGUUGCGAACGGGUGAGUAACGCGUAGGUAACCUGCCUGGUAGCGGGGGAUAACUAUUGGAAACGAUAGCUAAUACCGCAUAAGAGUAGAUGUUGCAUGACAUUUACUUAAAAGGUGCAAUUGCCUCACUACCAGAUGGACCUGCGUUGUAUUAGCUAGUUGGUGGAGUAACGGCUUACCAAGGCGACGAUACAUAGCCGACCUGAGAGGGGGAUCGGCCACACUGGGACUGAGACACGGCCCAGACUCCUACGGGAGGCAGCAGUAGGGAAUCUUCGGCAAAGGACGGAAGUCUGACCGAGCAACGCCGCGUGAGUGAAGAAGGUUUUCGGAUCGUAAAGCUCUGUUGUAAGAGAAGAACGAGUGUGAGAGUGGAAAGUUCACACUGUGACGGUAUCUUACCAGAAAGGGACGGCUAACUACGUG
RNAcentral lists this ribosomal RNA (495 nucleotides) under uncultured bacterium. RNAcentral's name for it is "partial 16S ribosomal RNA". It matches the Rfam family "Bacterial small subunit ribosomal RNA", at positions 28 to 507 of the family's 1533-position model. The record is from RNAcentral.